CCUACGGGAGGCAGCAGUGGGGAAUAUUGGGCAAUGGGCGCAAGCCUGACCCAGCAACGCCGCGCGAAGGAAGAAGGCUUUCGGGUGGUAAACUUCUUUUCUGAGGGACGAAGAAAGUGACGGUACCUCAGGAAUAAGCCACGGCUAACUACGUGCCAGCAGCCGCGGUAAUACGUAGGUGGCAAGCGUUAUCCGGAUUUAUGGGGUGUAAAGGGCGUGUAGGCGGGAAAGCAAGUCAGAUGUGAAAGCUCAGGGCUCAACCCUGUGCCUGCAUGUGAAACUGGUUUUCUUGAGUGCUGGAGGGGCAAUCGGAAUUCCGUGUGUAGCGGUGAAAUGCGUAGAUAUACGGAGGAACACCAGUGGCGAAGGCGGAUUGCUGGACAGUAACUGACGCUGAGGCGCGAAAGCGUGGGGAGCAAACAGGAUUAGAUACCCUUGUAGUC
This 443-nucleotide ribosomal RNA is filed under the name uncultured bacterium. Its description in RNAcentral is "partial 16S ribosomal RNA". It matches the Rfam family "Bacterial small subunit ribosomal RNA", at positions 338 to 795 of the family's 1533-position model. The record is from RNAcentral.